UACGAAGGGGGCUAGCGUUGUUCGGAAUUACUGGGCGUAAAGCGUGCGCAGGCGGCUUCUCAAGUCAGAUGUGAAAGCCCCGGGCUCAACCUGGGAACUGCAUUUGAGACUGGAGAGCUCGAGUUCGGGAGAGGAGAGCGGAAUUCCCAGUGUAGAGGUGAAAUUCGUAGAUAUUCGGAAGAACACCAGUGGCGAAGGCGACUUACUGGACACAUAUUGACGCUGAGGUGCGAAAGCGUGGGGAGCAAACAGG
RNAcentral lists this ribosomal RNA (253 nucleotides) under uncultured bacterium. RNAcentral describes it as "partial 16S ribosomal RNA". It matches the Rfam family "Bacterial small subunit ribosomal RNA", at positions 524 to 776 of the family's 1533-position model. The record is from RNAcentral.